RNAcentral lists this ribosomal RNA (274 nucleotides) under uncultured bacterium. RNAcentral describes it as "partial 16S ribosomal RNA". It matches the Rfam family "Bacterial small subunit ribosomal RNA", at positions 523 to 796 of the family's 1533-position model. The record is from RNAcentral.
AUACGAACCGGACAAACGUUAUUCGGAAUUAUUGGGCUUAAAGGGUGCGUAGGCGGCGCGGUAAGUGAGGUGUGAAAGCCCACGGCUCAACCGUGGAAUUGCGCUUCAUACUGCCGUGCUAGAGGGAGACAGAGGUAAGCGGAACUGAUGGUGGAGCGGUGAAAUGCGUUGAUAUUAUCAGGAACACCGGUGGCGAAAGCGGCUUACUGGGUCUCUUCUGACGCUGAGGCACGAAAGCUAGGGUAGCGAACGGGAUUAGAAACCCGAGUAGUCC